GAUGAACGCUGGCGGCGUGCCUAAUACAUGCAAGUCGAGCGAACAGACGAGGAGCUUGCUCCUCUGACGUUAGCGGCGGACGGGUGAGUAACACGUGGAUAACCUACCUAUAAGACUGGGAUAACUUCGGGAAACCGGAGCUAAUACCGGAUAAUAUAUUGAACCGCAUGGUUCAAUAGUGAAAGACGGUUUUGCUGUCACUUAUAGAUGGAUCCGCGCCGCAUUAGCUAGUUGGUAAGGUAACGGCUUACCAAGGCAACGAUGCGUAGCCGACCUGAGAGGGUGAUCGGCCACACUGGAACUGAGACACGGUCCAGACCCCUACGGGAGGCAGCAGUAGGGAAUAUUCCGCAAUGGGCGAAAGCCUGAAGGAGCCAAGCCGCGUGGGUGAAGAAGGUCUUCGGGUCGUAAAACUCUGUUAUUAGGGAAGAACAAAUGUGUAAGUAACUAUGCACGUCUUGACGGUACCUAAUCAGAAAGCCACGGCUAACUACGUG
Molecule: ribosomal RNA, 497 nt
Filed under: uncultured bacterium
Lineage: Bacteria
Description: partial 16S ribosomal RNA
Rfam family: Bacterial small subunit ribosomal RNA
Source: RNAcentral